Long non-coding RNA from Coccinella septempunctata (seven-spotted ladybird), 410 nucleotides. RefSeq lists it as uncharacterized. Lineage: Eukaryota; Metazoa; Arthropoda; Insecta; Coleoptera; Coccinellidae. The transcript has 2 exons. The record is from RefSeq and is a predicted model, not a curated record.
CAUACUGUAAUUUGAUAAAUGAAAUUAGACUGUGAUGACCAUAUGUUUAAAAAUUAGAUGCGGAUACUGUCGUUCAUUAUUGUUUUUCGCUUUAUUCUCGAAUGUGGUUGUCCAUACUCCGAUUUAAUGUUUUUAGUUGUUCUGAGGCCUAUUUGUUAUAUACAUAAUGUAUAUUUCUAUUUGUAGUUUAAAUUAUUCUGAUGUGUUCCAAUAACAGAGUCCAUUGUCAAAUUAGAUACUGAUUCGAGAAAAAAACUUCUGAAACUAUCUAAAAAAAAAAUGAAAUUCUUCUCUAAGAAGGAUAAAUUUGGCCUUUACAUAAGGUGCACAAUUCAUUACAAGAAUUUGAAAGAAUUAGAAAUUGAAACGGAGGAAGAAUCAAAUGAUUCACAGUGGCAGUCCUACCAAGA